RNAcentral lists this ribosomal RNA (629 nucleotides) under uncultured Actinomycetes bacterium. RNAcentral's name for it is "bacterial SSU rRNA". It matches the Rfam family "Bacterial small subunit ribosomal RNA", at positions 101 to 744 of the family's 1533-position model. The record is from RNAcentral. Lineage: Bacteria; Bacillati; Actinomycetota; Actinomycetes.
AACGGGUGAGUAACACGUGAGAAAUCUGCCCCUGACUCUGGGAUAACUGCGGGAAACUGUAGCUAAUACCGGAUACUUUCCCUGGUGGGCAUCCACUGGGGAAGAAAGAAUUUCGGUCAGGGAGGAUCUCGCGGCCUAUCAGCUAGUUGGUGAGGUAACGGCUCACCAAGGCGACGACGGGUAACCGGCCUGAGAGGGUGACCGGUCACACUGGGACUGAGACACGGCCCAGACUCCUACGGGAGGCAGCAGUGGGGAAUAUUGCACAAUGGGCGCAAGCCUGAUGCAGCAACGCCGCGUGAGGGAUGAAGGCCUUCGGGUUGUAAACCUCUUUUAGCAGGGAAGAAGCGAAAGUGACGGUACCUGCAGAAAAAGCACCGGCUAACUACGUGCCAGCAGCCGCGGUAAUACGUAGGGUGCAAGCGUUGUCCGGAAUUAUUGGGCGUAAAGAGCUCGUAGGCGGUUUGUCACGUCUGCUGUGAAAAUCCAAGGGUCAACCUUGGACUUGCAGUGGGUACGGGCAGGCUAGAGUGCGGUAGGGGAGAUGGGAAUUCCUGGUGUAGCGGUGGAAUGCCCAGAUAUCAGGAGGAACACCAAUGGCGAAGGCACAUCUCUGGGCCGUAACUGAC